This 405-nucleotide ribosomal RNA is filed under the name uncultured bacterium. Its description in RNAcentral is "bacterial SSU rRNA". It matches the Rfam family "Bacterial small subunit ribosomal RNA", at positions 30 to 432 of the family's 1533-position model. The record is from RNAcentral.
AUUGAACGCUGGCGGCAGGCCUAACACAUGCAAGUCGAACGGUAACAGGAAACAGCUUGCUGUUUCGCUGACGAGUGGCGGACGGGUGAGUAAUGUCUGGGAAACUGCCUGAUGGAGGGGGAUAACUACUGGAAACGGUAGCUAAUACCGCAUAACGUCGCAAGACCAAAGAGGGGGGACCCUCGGGCCUCUUGCCAUCGGAUGUGCCCAGAUGGGAUUAGCUUGUUGGUGGGGUAACGGCUCACCAAGGCGACGAUCCCUAGCUGGUCUGAGAGGAUGACCAGCCACACUGGAACUGAGACACGGUCCAGACUCCUACGGAGGCAGCAGUGGGGAAUAUUGCACAAUGGGCGCAAGCCUGAUGCAGCCAUGCCGCGUGUAUGAAGAAGGCCUCGGUUGUAAGUA